Molecule: long non-coding RNA, 1440 nt
Organism: Oreochromis aureus
Lineage: Eukaryota; Metazoa; Chordata; Actinopteri; Cichliformes; Cichlidae
Exons: 2
Source: RefSeq, a predicted model, not a curated record
ACUGAUGGAGGUUGUACUCUCUUUAUCUUAACUGACUGAAACUGUUGCUGACGUGGGUCUGACGUUCUGCAGUGACGUUUUGUCUGAAUGGUUCAUGUUCAGUCUUGUUCACUGACGUGAUGUGAUUUCUCAGAAAGAGUUCAUGCCGGUAGAAGAUGAAAACUUCUCGGGUGCUCUGACAUCUUGAAGAGUGACUCCUCUGAGAUACUCAGACUCAUGGCUUCUGCAGAGAAAUAGAGUCUAACUGACCAGAGUUUGAUUCACAAUCCAAAGCAAAAGGUCAGAGGUCAAGCUGCUCAUCAGACUGUCUAGAGGAUAACUAGUCAACAAGUUUUUAGUUUGAAGGAAACUUCACAAAAUGUCCUUGGCUCCCAAAAAAAGAGGAAGCAAAGACCUGCCUCCUAGUUUGUUGGACUUCAUGGGCAAACGUAUUAACGAUGCAUCUUCCAUCCAGCAGUUUGACAGCAGAAACCAAACACUGAGAGAAAGUGUAAGAAUGUUUCUGAGGAUUUCUAAAGUUGUAAAAGAAAUACAGAAGGCCACAGAUGUACAAAGGACAGCAGGAGGACUGGGGGAGCAGGAGGCCGUUCAUUCACUGGAGGACUGACUUCAGCUUUUGGAUUUUAGCUGCUGUUGCAGGUGGAAGUGCUGUUGUGUAGGAGUUCUAACUACAUAUUUAUAAGUGCUUAAUGUGACCAAUCAGCUACUAGCUCUCAUUGCUGGAAUCUUCAGAGUCGCUCCUGAAGAGGAUAAAAAGGUAUGAUGUUGCCAUCUAAGUCAGCUGAACAGAGUCAAAUGAGAUAAAGAACAAACUCAGAAAUUUUUCCUACAAUUAAAGAGAAUGAAAAUAAAAUCCCCUUCCUGCUCUUCCACCCUGUGAGCCUGUACUGUUCACACUGACUAACAAAUGAAGUGUGUGAAUAAAGGAUCAUCAGACUGUGACCUGGACUGUAUGAAGGACAAUAUGAAUGGACUGUAUGAAGUGUUCCCUUGAAGUCAUUUAAAAAGCAAACAGAGGAUAGUCACGCUCUGUAGAAAUAUAUUAUGAACUAGAGUGGAAACUUUACAGCGACAAUGGAAAUUUGGAGAAAUAUGACUGGAAAAUAAACCAGGGGAACUCUAAUCACAUCUCAGUCACAGGAGACACCCGACUGGCCUGAGGACUGCCACUGCUUCCCUUGUACAGCUUCUUGAUUCCUCAGAAGGAACAUUUCAGAGCACCACAUAAAGAUAUUCAAUAAUCUGACUCAAAGAGACUGAAAAGUGUUUUCUUCUUGGUUGUAAUAGGUGUGUUCCACCACAGGGUGGAGCUGUGCAUAGUAUUUCCACUGUUUUCCUUAAAGUUUCUGUUCCAUGUGGUAUCAUCUCUAUUGAUUACCUGUUUCUGUUCAUUUUCCUUUUAUCUGCUUUAAUAAAUGUCACGCCCUUGGUUAGAGUACA